This 490-nucleotide ribosomal RNA is filed under the name uncultured bacterium. Its description in RNAcentral is "partial 16S ribosomal RNA". It matches the Rfam family "Bacterial small subunit ribosomal RNA", at positions 30 to 507 of the family's 1533-position model. The record is from RNAcentral.
UGAACGCUGGCGGUAGGCCUAACACAUGCAAGUCGACCGGCAGCACAGUAAGAGCUUGCUCUUACGGGUGGCGAGUGGCGGACGGGUGAGGAAUACAUCGGAAUCUACUUUUUCGUGGGGGAUAACGUAGGGAAACUUACGCUAAUACCGCAUACGACCUACGGGUGAAAGCAGGGGAUCUUCGGACCUUGCGCGAUUGAAUGAGCCGAUGUCGGAUUAGCUAGUUGGCGGGGUAAAGGCCCACCAAGGCGACGAUCCGUAGCUGGUCUGAGAGGAUGAUCAGCCACACUGGAACUGAGACACGGUCCAGACUCCUACGGGAGGCAGCAGUGGGGAAUAUUGGACAAAGGGCGCAAGCCUGAUCCAGCCAUACCGCGUGGGUGAAGAAGGCCUUCGGGUUGUAAAGCCCUUUUGUUGGGAAAGAAAAGCAGCAGGUUAAUACCCCGCUGUUCUGACGGUACCCAAAGAAUAAGCACCGGCUAACUUCGUG